CUGAGAAAACAUUUCUUAACCUCCCUCAGAUCAUAAGUGUUCAUUCUCUUAUAUCUUUGAAUGGUUGGUGGGUUUAACUCUUACAUCUUGGUCAUAAUUCAUUUGGAUUAGUUUUUCUAUAUUGUAUGAAGAGGUAUGAUUUCCUUCUUUAAAUAAUAUCUACCUGCCAUGAUUAAUACCAGUUAGCAGGCCAUUUUUCCUCAUUAAGUUGCCUUGGUACACUUGAAAAACUAAACUGACCUAAGCCUGGGUCCUUAUUUCUUAACUGUCAAUUGCAUUUUAUUGCUCUGUAUGUCUCCUGUGAGCCAGUACACACUUGAUGACUGCAGGCAUGAAGUAUGUUUUAGAAUGCAUAUUGAGAGUUCACAAAUUUUCUGGUUUUGUUCUAAAGGUUGUUUUGGCUAUUGUUGAGUCUCUGAAUGUCUGUAUAAAUUUUAGACUAAACUCAUUAAUGUCUUGGGAAAUGCCGCUGAGGGACUUAUAUGGAUUGUAUCGAGUCAUAGGCUGAUUUGGAGAGAAUUGUUAUCUUAACCAUAGUUUUGUCUUUUGAGCCAGAGCAUGGAUAUCUUUGUCUUCUUUAGAGCUUAUUUCAUUUCUUAGUGAUUCUUUUGUUUUCAUGUUCAAGUCUUAUUCUCACUUGUAAAACGUAGUCUAAGAAUUCUUUUCAAGCUACUGUAAGUGAAUUCAACUUUGUAAAUUUUGGAGUUGUUUGUAGCUAGUACUGUACGCUUUCUAGGGUUUGUGCUAUUGCUUUCAACCUUGCUGAACAUUUGAAAAAAUUCUAGCAGGACUUUUAGGUGUGAGCUCUCUUGGAUUUUUCUGUGUUCCAGCAAUAUCAUCUGGGUGAUAGGUACUGUCCGAUUUACUCUAUGAGCCCAAAUACAUGUUGUUUUCUUGCCAAACCUCUCUGACUCUGACAUCCAGAAUAGCAUAAGUGGGGAGGUGUGACAUGCCUGUCCCACUCCUGGGCUUAGUUGGUUAGUUGGAGGCUUAAAGCCUUAUACAAUUGGUAUUAUGUAUCAUGUACUGAGUAUUAUGCCAACAGUGGGUUUAAGAGAUUCCCAUUAUGAAGUUGCUGGUACUCUGUUCAUAGUUUUUGAAUGUUUUUUAAUAUGCAAAGGUGUUCAUUUUUUCCAAAUGCUUUUUCUGUAUCUUUUGAUAGAUUCUGUAAUUUUCAUCCUGUACUCUACAAAUAUGUGUUACACUGGCUUAUUUUCAAUUAUCAAACCAACCUUGUGUUCCUGGGACAAAUCCCCCUAAGUCAUGGUAUAAUAUAUUGUUAUUCUUUAAAUGUUGCUGGGUUCCAUUUGCUAAGAUUUGUUGACUAUUUUACAUUUUCACCAAGAAGGAGUACUGGUCUGAGUUUUAUUUUCUGUAAUGUACUUAGUAUUAGAGAAUGUUAAAAACUUAUAGGUUAGGUUGGGGAAUUUUACCUCGUUUCUUUAGGAAAAAUUGGGACAGAUUGAUGUUAUAUAAACUUGGGAUUUGUUA
This 1491-nucleotide long non-coding RNA is filed under the name Mus musculus (house mouse). RNAcentral describes it as "long non-coding RNA chr4:83874013-83875504". Lineage: Eukaryota; Metazoa; Chordata; Mammalia; Rodentia; Muridae. The record is from RNAcentral.